Long non-coding RNA from Medicago truncatula (barrel medic), 687 nucleotides. RefSeq lists it as uncharacterized. The transcript has 2 exons. The record is from RefSeq and is a predicted model, not a curated record. NCBI's taxonomy places the organism in Eukaryota, Viridiplantae, Streptophyta, Magnoliopsida, Fabales, Fabaceae.
UUAUGUGUCACCUCACCAAUUCCCCCCUCUCUAACUAAUUUUCUAAGCAUUCACCAUGUGGCUCUCUUUUUCCUUCAUUUUUGCCUUCUUUAUUAUGUAACUUCCAUUGUCUUCUUUAUUAUGUAACUUUCAAUUAAUUUGUGUGAUUCCUUCCACUACUCAUUUUUUUAUUUAUAACCUACAAAUUAUUAUGUAACUUCCAAUUAAUUUAUUUAGCUCUUUCCACUACUCAUUAUUUUAUAUUGAUAACCUACAAAUUGAACAAAUUUAAUGCAUAAUUUUAUUUUCUAUAAAAAUCAUUGCAAGAACAUGCAAAAACUUGAUUACUCAUUUUUCCAAAGGGUGAAGAAUAUUUGGAGGAGAAUGAAGGAGGUGGAUUUUUGUCUAUCCCAUAAAAUAACCAUGGGAUAACCAUAUUUCAUUCAAACACAUACAUAAGCCAUAAGGGUUUUCGAAAAAGGACAGUUUUUGAAAGGGUGCUUCUUAUGUGAAAAGGUGGUUAUCAUCAUACAUUAAAAUAGAAGUUUUUUCAUUAUGAUUUUAGUUUAACUUUGUAUCGGUGAUCUUUUGACUUUUAUGUUAACUAUUUUUGCUGAUUUUGUAAUAUGGUGGAUGGUUAUAUUUAUCAACUAAUUUUUUGUAAUAUCUCAAAUUAUUCCAACGAAAUUAUAUUUACUUUUUUAGUCA